UGCAGUCGAGCGAAUGGAUUGAGAGCUUGCUCUCAAGAAGUUAGCGGCGGACGGGUGAGUAACACGUGGGUAACCUGCCCAUAAGACUGGGAUAACUCCGGGAAACCGGGGCUAAUACCGAAUAACAUUUUGAACCGCAUGGUUCGAAAUUGAAAGGCGGCUUCGGCUGUCACUUAUGGAUGGACCCGCGUCGCAUUAACUAGUUGGUGAGGUAACGGCUCACCAAGGCAACGAUGCGUACCCGACCUGAGAGGGUGAUCGGCCACACUGGGACUGAGACACGGCCCAGACUCCUACGGGAGGCAGCAGUAGGGAAUCUUCCGCAAUGGACGAAAGUCUGACGGAGCAACGCCGCGUGAGUGAUGAAGGCUUUCGGGUCGUAAAACUCUGUUGUUAGGGAAGAACAAGUGCUAGUUGAAUAAUCUGGCACCUUGACGGUACCUAACCAGAAAGCCACGGCUAACUACGUGCCAGCCGCCGCGGUAA
Molecule: ribosomal RNA, 486 nt
Filed under: Bacillus sp. SA_30
Lineage: Bacteria; Bacillati; Bacillota; Bacilli; Caryophanales; Bacillaceae
Description: bacterial SSU rRNA
Rfam family: Bacterial small subunit ribosomal RNA
Source: RNAcentral